GAUGAACGCUGGCGGCGUGCCUAAUACAUGCCAGUCGAGCGAACAGACGAGGAGCUUGCUCCUCUGACGUUAGCGGCGGACGGGUGAGUAACACGUGGAUAACCUACCUAUAAGACUGGGAUAACUUCGGGAAACCGGAGCUAAUACCGGAUAAUAUAUUGAACCGCAUGGUUCAAUAGUGAAAGACGGUUUUGCUGUCACUUAUAGAUGGAUCCGCGCCGCAUUAGCUAGUUGGUAAGGUAACGGCUUACCAAGGCAACGAUGCGUAGCCGACCUGAGAGGGUGAUCGGCCACACUGGAACUGAGACACGGUCCAGACUCCUACGGGAGGCAGCAGUAGGGAAUCUUCCGCAAUGGGCGAAAGCUUGACGGAGCAACGCCGCGUGAGUGAUGAAGGUCUUCGGAUCGUAAAACUCUGUUAUCAGGGAAGAACAAAUGUGUAAGUAACUAUGCACGUCUUGACGGUACCUAAUCAGAAAGCCACGGCUAACUACGUG
RNAcentral lists this ribosomal RNA (497 nucleotides) under uncultured bacterium. RNAcentral describes it as "partial 16S ribosomal RNA". It matches the Rfam family "Bacterial small subunit ribosomal RNA", at positions 28 to 507 of the family's 1533-position model. The record is from RNAcentral.